GCCGGGGUGGCCGAGCGGUUCUAGGCGCUACGGUUUGGAACCGCUACGGUCGCAGGUUCGAAUCCUGCCUCGGGCA
This 76-nucleotide transfer RNA is filed under the name Schistocerca americana (American grasshopper). RNAcentral describes it as "tRNA-Pro". It matches the Rfam family "tRNA". Rfam says of the family: Transfer RNA (tRNA) molecules are approximately 80 nucleotides in length. The record is from RNAcentral. Lineage: Eukaryota; Metazoa; Arthropoda; Insecta; Orthoptera; Acrididae.